UCUGUCCGCAACUUUACCUCUUUCUUCUUCUUCUUCAAUGGUGGUAGGAGGGUCACCGGAGAAAACUUGUCCAACACCCCCCCCCCCCCCCCCCCCCCUCAAGUUGGAGGGGGCAGUAUGCAGACCCAACUUGCCCAAAAUGUGCCGGUGAGUGGGACCAUUUAGAGGUUUAUUGAAAAUAUCUGCGAUUUGUGAGUUUGAGGGUACAAAAGCGAGGGAAAUGAGUCCGGCAAGGUAUUGUUACUGGACAAAAUGGCAAUCUAGAUCCACGUGCUUCGUUCUUUCAUGAAACAUGGGAAUUUUAGCGAUGUGAAGAGUCGUCGCGAGUCUGAGUAUAAGGAGAUCGGAAGAGGUGGUGAAAAGGAUAGAUCUUCAAAGAGGCGAACAAGCCAAGUGAUUUCUGCGACUACUCGGCGCAUCAAUCGGUAUUUAGCCUCCGCCGAGGAGAGGGAAACAGAGACUUGUUUCUUGGAAUUCCAAGAAAUUGGCCAGUCUCCAAAGUUGAUGAAGUAUUCGCUAAUGGAACGACGACUUUCCGGGCAAGUGGCCCAGUCGGCAUCACAAAAGGCCCUUAACUCGAAGUUUGGAGAAGAAGACAUAAAAAGACCAAGGCCAGGAUCUAAAAGGACAAAGCUCAAAAUGUGAAUACCAGUAUCAAAAUGGGGUUCUCGAGGUGAUUGCACAUAUUAGCUUAAAUGUUGCACACAAAAUGAAAGAUCUGGUCGGAUGGAUCUAAUGGAGAAGAAGCUGGAUGAAGAUCAAGGCAAUUGAACUCACUCAACAUUUCCAUGGCAAAUUUCCUCUGGUUCAAGAUCAGACUCUGAGGUUCUCGGAGUACUUCUAUUCCCAAAACAUAUUGUAAGUUUCCCAAAUCUUUGAUCUUAAAUUCCAAGUCUAGAAAGGCUUUGAUUGAAUGGAUUUCACUUAA
Molecule: long non-coding RNA, 928 nt
Organism: Lycium ferocissimum
Lineage: Eukaryota; Viridiplantae; Streptophyta; Magnoliopsida; Solanales; Solanaceae
Exons: 2
Source: RefSeq, a predicted model, not a curated record